UACAGAGGGUACAAGCGUUAAUCGGAAUUACUGGGCGUAAAGCGCACGUAGGCGGUUUUUUAAGUCAGAUGUGAAAGCCCCGGGCUCAACCUGGGAAUUGCAUUUGAAACUGGGGAACUAGAGUGUGUGAGAGGGGGGUAGAAUUCCAAGUGUAGCGGUGAAAUGCGUAGAGAUUUGGAGGAAUACCAGUGGCGAAGGCGGCCCCCUGGCACAACACUGACGCUCAGGUGCGAAAGCGUGGGGAGCAAACAGG
RNAcentral lists this ribosomal RNA (253 nucleotides) under uncultured bacterium. Its description in RNAcentral is "partial 16S ribosomal RNA". It matches the Rfam family "Bacterial small subunit ribosomal RNA", at positions 524 to 776 of the family's 1533-position model. The record is from RNAcentral.